CAGCAGCCACGGUAAUACGAAGGGUGCAAGCGUUAAUCGGAAUUACUGGGCGUAAAGCGUGCGUAGGCGGUUUGUUAAGUCUGCUGUGAAAUCCCCGGGCUCAACCUGGGAAUGGCAAUGGAUACUGGCAAGCUAGAGUGUGUCAGAGGAUGGUGGAAUUCCCGGUGUAGCGGUGAAAUGCGUAGAGAUCGGGAGGAACAUCAGUGGCGAAGGCGGCCAUCUGGGACAACACUGACGCUGAGGCACGAAAGCGUGGGGAGCAAACAGGAUUAGAUACCCGUGUAGUCCCUGUCUCUUAUAA
Molecule: ribosomal RNA, 301 nt
Filed under: uncultured bacterium
Lineage: Bacteria
Description: partial 16S ribosomal RNA
Rfam family: Bacterial small subunit ribosomal RNA
Source: RNAcentral